UCAGCCGCGAGAUUUCGAUUGAGGAAUCUAUUGAAUCGGCCCGGGUGCCGUGAACCUCGGUACUUUCGUGAUACGCGUACUGAGCAGGAACUGUUAAGCGCACGCGUAACCGAAAAUUCGAUGAUUACGCAACGCAGGACCCGCGCAGAGCUCGCGGCCGCGGCGUUUCCAUAUCCUGCGCAACUCGAUAGAUCCGCGAAUCAAUCAAAGAGCGCCACGUGUAGAAUUCACCCCCUCCUAGCAGUCCUUAUCACGGAAACGAAGCUCCUCGUGGCAAUUAAUCGCUUUCUUCCGUGCGGACUCCGAAAAGGAUAAGUUGUGUUUACGGACUCUCUCGAUUUCAACUCUUAUCAAAUCCUGCUCGUUCUCGUUUCGUCGCAUUCUGCGCCAUUAAUCGGCCGUCUCGCGAAUUCGUUAUUGAGCGCCUCAACCCCGGGAAGAGUCGCGUUAUUGUUACGCGUCCUCAUCCUCGUUUAUCGCGAGCGAUCGUUCUAGCCGCCAUCGGAGCUCGGAGCGCUGGCUAGGUAAGUGAACUUUUUAAAGAUUAUCAUGCGAGAAUCGUUCGUGCUGUGUUCUUCCACCGUUUUCGCGUGUGCGUGGAAUAAUCGUUGAGCAGUGCGGCGCCGCUCUCGAAUCAUUAUUACGCUUACGCCUUCUCCGGGCGUCUCACGAGUUUACGCGUUAGCGCGUGCACCUCGCAACGCAGGAUUUCCACCGAUCGUGGGCAAGAUUUCCGUGAGGGCACAGAGUGACUGCGUCAGCAAGAUUUCCGGUGCGCUCUUCGCAGAAUAUUCGUACACGGCAAGAUUUCCGAUCGAUUACGUCGAGCCCGGUGCGUGUAAUUUUCUCUCGAGGAAAUCUCUCGAACAUUGAAGAAAGAACGAAUCGCUUCAUCACUCUUUAGUUCAGGAGCCAGUAAUACAGACAAUAAUGCAAAGUACUUUUAUAUGAGCCAGAAUUCCUAUCUACUUUAUCCAUUGAAUAUUAUCAGAAGGAGAUAUCAGAAUAAUUGUUCUUCACUGAUGGAGCCAUCAAAUUAUAUUUGGAUAACAAGAGAGAUGAUGAGAAAUUUCUAUCAUACUUUCUAUAUAACUAGGAUAUCUUAAUAUACAUUGCGAUUGGAAUUUCAACAUCUUUUUGAAUUUCCUAUUUUAUUGUCAUUUUAAAAAAUAUUGAGACGAUAUAUAUUGAAAAUGAAUACAAAAAUAUUACAAAUACAAUAGAGAUUAGAUCGAACACUGUAGUGAAGAAACGUUUAAAAAGAAGGCCAAAAAAGAAUAAAUUUGCCGUUUGAAUGAUUGUAACAAUGCAUGGCACGGUUAUUCUUAUAAUAAUCAUGACGGCGUAAUCAUUUGAUGGCAUCAUGAAUGUGACAGAAUGCUCCAAGAUAAAUUGGAAAAGAGUAUUAUGUUCCCAUAUCUACGGCAAUUCAAUGGACAUUAUCACAUUUGCAUAUGUAAAAAAUUUUCGGACAGUGCCCAUCAACCUCACUACAUCAUUCUCACCAAGAAUAAUAUAAUAUAUCAAUUAUUGAUACGUCCACCAAGGAUGAUUGAUAACGUAGGAAUUGGAAGAUUCUUCUCUAGAUUCAAAGGUACUUAUUACGUACCGAAUGCGAGCUUAAGAAAAUAUUAUCCAAACGAUACCGCUGUAAUAGGCAAAAUACUUGCCAAACAGAAACAUUUAUCAUCUUAAAAUGUACAAAUUUGUUGUAUAUAUGAGAAUUAUUAUAAGAGAAUUUUUUUAAUGAA
Long non-coding RNA from Formica exsecta, 1751 nucleotides. RefSeq lists it as uncharacterized. The transcript is spliced from 5 exons. NCBI's taxonomy places the organism in Eukaryota, Metazoa, Arthropoda, Insecta, Hymenoptera, Formicidae. The record is from RefSeq and is a predicted model, not a curated record.